UGAUUGUCCAAACGCAAUUCUUGUGCGAGUUUGCGGCCAACCGAGAAUUGUGACUGGACAUCUGU
Molecule: microRNA precursor, 65 nt
Filed under: Ornithorhynchus anatinus (platypus)
Lineage: Eukaryota; Metazoa; Chordata; Mammalia; Monotremata; Ornithorhynchidae
Description: Oan-Mir-219-P2_pre stem-loop
Rfam family: mir-219 microRNA precursor family
About the family: The hairpin precursors (represented here) are predicted based on base pairing and cross-species conservation -- their extents are not known.
Source: RNAcentral